Molecule: non-coding RNA, 999 nt
Organism: Poecilia reticulata (guppy)
Lineage: Eukaryota; Metazoa; Chordata; Actinopteri; Cyprinodontiformes; Poeciliidae
Source: RefSeq, a predicted model, not a curated record
GGUCAGAAGGUACAUCUGUUUGGCAUUUUCACCCYCUGCAGUAUCAGCYGCUGUCAGGGGAUUCAAACAAUGAUAUCGCUGUCAGAGAGACGGAGUUGAGGAUGAAAGACAGACAGGAUCCUGACAGAGACAGGAAGAAAGAGAGGCAUGCUUAUGAUCACUCUCACUCAGCACAAUGAACAUCCUCAUGGCUGUUUAUCGGCCAUGUUUACUCUGGGAUUUCCUCCAUCAUACGUAACAGACGGACUAUGAAGGUAAUAAAACUCCUUCAUAAGUCUUCAGCAUCACCUCGGUUCUCAUCUGGAGAUGCUUAAACAUCCAUAUGCUGCUUCUCAUAUCUAGAAAAAGUGAUUAAUAAUACAUGACUUCAUGACGGCUACAUAAGAAACCAUAUGUUCACUGUCCUCUCAACAGCCACAUCUGCAAUCUUCAUGCUAAAGAAUAAAAGAUAUUUCAAACCGGAAAUGUUUAUGAGCACCAUUACCAUUCUGAGGAGGAAUAAACAGAAAAAUAACAGGAGAAAUCCCGGAGCUGCCUUAAUGUCUCCCACCGUGUCAUCACUUCAUCGGCCGUGAACGCAGCCAGCAUAACAAGAGGAAACUGUUGGGAACAACGUAUUCGUGGGAACUACAUGCUACAAGACUCCAACAUUUCCUCUUUUAUCAGUGUGAGCGCUAAGCAGUCAGGAACAGCAGGAAUAAAACCACAAAGUGUUUGAUUUCUGCAGAAAUGCUGCAUUAGCAUUGAGACUGAAAUGACUGAUGCACCACAUGCAGCCAAGAUUUAUCUGCAGUUUGGAGGAAAAAAACAGAGUCUCUCAAAAGAGCUGCUGAACGCCACAUGCUACAAAGUUCAUCAUGACGAUUCACUGAGGUGAAGCUCAUCUGUCUGUUUCAGAGCUUGGAUGAUGAUAUGAGCUCUUAUUGUGCUCAUGUUAACAUUUUUAUUGAUCUCAGAGCAGCUCAAACUGUAUAAAACGAUACUGCGUUGGGAAAUUAA